Molecule: long non-coding RNA, 863 nt
Organism: Mesocricetus auratus (golden hamster)
Lineage: Eukaryota; Metazoa; Chordata; Mammalia; Rodentia; Cricetidae
Exons: 2
Source: RefSeq, a predicted model, not a curated record
CAGGCCGGUUCAUGCUCGCCCAUCCUUGGGCCUGAUCUCUACAGCGCAAUUCGGCUCCGAGAGCCACUUAAACCCGCGUCCCUGCUUCAGGUCAGGAGAGACGAUGCUGGGUCGGCGCUACAGGCUGCUCCCUGCCCCUCCCACUUUCCCGCCCUCCCCACCCUUUCUCGGUUAUCCGCGCGCGCGGCCGCUGGCAUCUCUGGGAGGCACCUCUGAGAACAGCACAGCUCCUGGUUCGAACUAUAGAAGACCAUGCUGGACGUCUGCGCAGUUUGGAAAUCGUCUGGCGGGGGCGGGAGGUGGGCACCAAGGAGUAACAGAAAUAAGGAAGAAAGGGUGCCUCCUCUUCGCCUCAAGCCUAGCGAGGCCACCCGGUCCAUCCCUCGUGUGUUCACACUAACGCUGUCCUCCCAAAGCCGCCCCUGAUUCCCUGGAGAAUACUUUCGGGAAGCGAAGUUCAGACUCGGCGGCGGAAUUUGCUUUCAGUUUUCGCUGGGGGCGGACUCUGCCCUGUAGAAACCCUGUGAGUUUCUGAAGCUUGAGCAGAUGUGGGGGCUACCAGGCCUAGAACGGCAGCGAGAGACCACAAAGCCUGAGGGCUCUGCCUCUAACUGUGGGGCUGGACCCACUGCCUCCUGGGCAUGGGGAGCCAUCUCAAGCCUGUGACUGGGCAUAGGCUCACCGGUACAUGCCAGCCGGGAGCCAUUUCCAGAUGGAUGCCUACUGGUUGGACUUACUCGGUUUAGUGUAGCACCAACGACUACCAGAGAAAUCCUAUCGGUUCUAAAACUGACAAGAUUGAAUAUAUUAAUAGUCAUGUGUAAGUUUUAUCCAUGUAAGAAUAAAAUUGCACAAACAUCUCA